Molecule: long non-coding RNA, 2617 nt
Organism: Cornus florida
Lineage: Eukaryota; Viridiplantae; Streptophyta; Magnoliopsida; Cornales; Cornaceae
Exons: 2
Source: RefSeq, a predicted model, not a curated record
AUUACUAUACUAAAAGUUGUAACGACUUUUAUAUCAUAUAUAUAGUUAUUCCACUACUUUGUCAUAAUAGUGUUAUUAUUUUAAAUGAACAAAUAUAAUUUAAUGAUUCGCUUGUGAAUUGUGAUCAGAUGCGUAUAAUGUCAAUUUUUCUUAAAGAAAAAAGUUCUAGCAUUUUAGAAUGUGUUCAUAUUAUUUUCAAUAUUACCAAGUAGGCUUGUGUUAGAAAUGUUUGAAGGUGUCGGCUUAAGUGUCCAAGAAAUGUCAGCGAAGUGUCGAGAAAAUGUCCAAAAUAAUAAAAAAAUUUAUUUAUAUUUACCGACAAGUAUAUGAAGAGUUGGACACUUGUCCACAGAAUAUCCGACAUGAACACAUCACAGAUACGGCUCCUUUGUAGAAGUGUCUGUGCUUCAUUGCUAACUUCUUACUUUCAUGGUUGAAUAAGAAAAAUAGUGUUAAUAGUUAUGCCAAUUGCCUCCUGACUCGAAUAGUGUGUGUCAUAGUUGUCAAAGGCGCCCGCCUGAGGCGCAAGGCUCCUACAGGUGCCAUCAUAUCGCGUUUAAGGACUUUAAGGCAACUGGGUUGAAGAGGGCACGCGCCUCUGCUACUAAGGCACAAGGCCACAGGCGCAAUCGUCUCCUUUUAUUGUUAUUUCUUAUUUGUUUAAUAUGUUUAUUUUAUGUUAUUUGUUUAUUAUUACUGUUUUUUACAAAACCAAAACGAAUAAAAUAAAAGGCAAUAGGAAAGUGAUUUGAAAGCAAAGAGACUGAAGCAAAAGGAAAGGGCUAGGGCUUGCGACGAAUCUGCUGACUGCUCCUCACGAAUCUGCCUCUUCUUCUUCUCACGAAUCUCUCUUUUUUUCUCUCUUCUUCGGCAGAACUUAUUUGAGUUCUCUCUUUUUUUCUCUCUUCUUCGGCAGAACUUAGUUGAGUUUGGCAUUUAUUUUUCCAACUUACAGAUUUUUGCCCUCUUUUGUUUCGUGUCUGGAAUUUCCUGCUUUUGCUUCUUUAUGUGAAAUUACUUGAAUUUGGGAUUAAUAUAAAGUACUGGGCCCUGUUUCUCUUAAAAAAUUGGGUUCUAAUUUUAUUUUUAAUUUUUAAUUUUUAUGAAAUCUGUUUUAUUUUUUUUAUGAAAUUUGUCUAUUUUUUGUAUGAAAUCUGCAGCUCUGUAUUUUUUAUUUAUGAAAUCUGUGUAUUUUAUUUAUUUAUUUAUUUUUUUAUGAAAUCUGCAACUCUAUUAUUAUUAUUUUUUUUAUGAACUGAACUGGAAGUUUGGAACUGGACUGCAGGCUGCAGCUCUGUCUUUUUUUUUUUAAUACUGAACUGAACUGGAAGUAUGAAAUCUGCAGCUCUGUAUUUCAAUAUUGCUUUGAAAUUGAAAUCUGAUUUUGCUAAUUGACAUGAAAUCUGGUUUAUUUUGUUACAAAAUGAUGUUAUGGUUAUUGAUGACGAGGAUGAUAUUUAGAUUCGUUGGUGUUGUCUUCUUAGGAAGAAAUGAUGUCUGUUUGUUUUAGUUUUAUCUCAUAAUUCUCCUUAGUUGACUUUUGCAUCUUUAUGUUAAUAUGUUUGAUUAUUCACUGUUGAACUCAAGUACUUGAUUUAGUUGGCUUUGGCAUCUUUAUGAUGAAUAUUGAACUUAAGUAAUUCAUUUAGUUGACUUUUGCUUCUUUAUAUAUACUAUUGCAUCUUUAAUACUUUAUUGGGUGAGUUUUGUUUUUUUUUUUCAACAUGCGCCUUGCUUCAGUCGGGUGCGCGCCUCGCCAUGCGCCUCAGGCUCCAGGAGGCCUUUGCCCUUUUUGUGCGCCUUGAGCCUUUAACAAAUAUGAUUAUGUUCCAUGAUGCCUCCUUUAGGGAAAUAGUUUGAUGAACGUGCUUCUUUCUUCUUGUUAUGCAAAUGCAUUGAAUUAAGUGUACUAACAGUUCAAUAAUCAUGAUACACUUUCAAUCUUCUCUUCUUCUUCUUCUUCUUCUUCUUUUUUUUAUUUUUAUUUUUAUUUUUUUUUCAGUAAGGAACUUUAAAUUGUCCAUGCUGUUUGACGAUGAAGAGACAUUUAGCUUCUCUUUGAUUAAUAAAGAAUUUUCAGUCUAGUAUGGUUUAGGUGGGGAGGUGACAGCAAAAGGCGAUGUAUACAGCUAUGGAAUCAUCGCUAGAGAUGUUUACCGGAAAAGGCCCACCAGCAGCAUGUUUUUGGAUGAUUUGAGCCUCCAGAACUACGCCAGGAUGGCCCUCCCAGCGCGGGUGACAUAAAUAGUCGAUCCCCUUCUAGUCGAUCCCCUUCUAGUACCGGAGCAGGAAGAUGAGUUGAAAAGAGAUGAAAAAAGUGGAAGAGGUGACAUUGGCGCAUUAGAGAACUGUUUGGCAAUGAUUCUUCAAAUUGGAGUCAUAUGUUGUGCUGAAUUGCCAAGACAAAGAAUGUUUAUUAGAGAUGUUCUUGCAGAACUGCAUGAUAUCAGGAAUGCAUAUUUAAGUAUUGGAGCAGAGAAGGAGAAGAAAAUACAGAAUUAAGUAGUAGCUUAGAACACAUAACAUAGAGACUUCUGUAUAUGUUUAAUGUUUUUGUGAAACAGAAACACUUUUUAUAUCUAUCAUUCAAACAAAAAGGCUGAGAAGUUUGCACUGA